RNAcentral lists this long non-coding RNA (964 nucleotides) under Mytilus galloprovincialis (Mediterranean mussel). The record is from RNAcentral. Lineage: Eukaryota; Metazoa; Mollusca; Bivalvia; Mytilida; Mytilidae.
CUCAUUUUAUCUUAGUGUUAUUUACAAUGUAUAAAGAUUGAUUGUACUUGUUGAGAGAUGAGACUUUAAUAAAACAUUGAAUUGAUUGAAUUGAUUGAGCUAUCACAUAGCCCGGAUAUAUAAAGUCGGUCCCAAACCGAUACCGGUGAUAACACCAAAUCGUCCAUCAUAAAAAUCGCAAUUUUUAUUGAAAUUAUUUUAUUUUUUUACAUUUUUCUUCAGGAAUUGUAAUAUUUUUAUGCUUUAAAGGGAAAUUAAGGUCCUUUGUGCUAUUAUCAAACUUUUUUAGGAUCCUUAGUGCUCCUAUGUGUUCCUUUGUGUACAAAGGAGGUCCUUUGCGGUGUUUUUAGAGACCGUAUUUCUAAACGUUUCAAUGCGGUACGUCUAAACACCACCUAGGCCGCCGUUGUGCACUAAGCUCCAGGAAGUGCACUAAGCCCAUGAUGGACCAGUCAAAGAAGCACCAAGGUCAUUCAGUACGAUAUACAGAUUUGAAUAAAGAGCAUAUAUUUAAAUUUUGGUGUAAAUAUAUUCAGAAAUAAAAGAGAAAUUAACAUUUUAUUUGACACGCGCCGAUUUUGUGUAAUGUGUCCAUUCAAAAAGGACCAGUCAAAUAAGCACCAAGGUCAUUCAGUACGAUACAGAUUUGAAUAAAGAGCAUAUAUUUAAAUUUUGGUGUAAAUAUAUUCAGGAAUAAAAGAGUAAUUAACAUUUUAUAUGACACGCGCCGAUUUUGUGUUAUGUGUCCAGUUGUCCUAUGAUAUCGUUGAUUGAAUCCAAUGAAGCUUGACGAAUUUAUAAAUACUGCACUAAGGAUAUGUACCAAAGGUUAAAUAUGCACCAAGAUCAUUAAUCAAGAUAAAUUCUUAUUUUAAAAAAAAUAUGUUAAAAGUUGGUUCGAUGAUAUAAAGAGAUUUAAAAGUUAUUAACAUUUUUAACGUGACACGCGCACUACUUGUGUAAU